GACGAACGCUGGCGGCGUGCCUAACACAUGCAAGUCGAGCGAAUGAAGUUCCUUCGGGAAUGGAUUUAGCGGCGGACGGGUGAGUAACACGUGGGCAACCUGCCUCAUAGAGGGGAGUAGCCUUCCGAAAGGGAGAUUAAUACCGCAUAAGAUUGUAGUAUCGCAUGAUACAGCAAUUAAAGGAGCAAUCCGCUAUGAGAUGGGCCCGCGGCGCAUUAGCUAGUUGGUGAGGUAACGGCUCACCAAGGCGACGAUGCGUAGCCGACCUGAGAGGGUGAUCGGCCACAUUGGGACUGAGACACGGCCCAGACUCCUACGGGAGGCAGCAGUGGGGAAUAUUGCACAAUGGGGGAAACCCUGAUGCAGCAACGCCGCGUGAGUGAUGACGGCCUUCGGGUUGUAAAGCUCUGUCUUCAGGGACGAUAAUGACGGUACCUGAGGAGGAAGCCACGGCUAACUACGUG
Molecule: ribosomal RNA, 464 nt
Filed under: uncultured bacterium
Lineage: Bacteria
Description: partial 16S ribosomal RNA
Rfam family: Bacterial small subunit ribosomal RNA
Source: RNAcentral